UAAUAUAUGUAUGUGAGUGGAGAAUGUGUGCCAGAAUGAAUUAUAGCUUGUGUGGUCUUUCAUACUUGGUCAAUACUAAUUAUAUUAUAUCAUAAUAAAUAUAUACAGGCACAGGACUAAAAAUACAUCCAUCAGUCAUCGCUUCUGAAAUUAAUUCAACAGGUCAUCUUGUUAAUGCUAUAAAUUAUUUACAGCAAUAAAAAAGCAUUUCAUCAUGAACAAGAAAAGGAACAACAUCACAUUAGAUCACAGAAAUUACAAAAUGACAUUUGAUUCAGCUUUCAAAAGUGCAUUCAUCUUUGCCAUGUUAUAUUCAUUUAGUUGACUAGUGCUGUGUGCUGUAUUAACAAAAACAUAAAUGGGAUUAAUAAAAACACUGACAAGCUACGCAAUAUCACAUUCAUAAUCCAAUCGGAUUCAUCUAAUGAAUAUGAUAUAGUGCAGCUUGUCAGUGGUCUACAGCACUGUGUAUUAAAUGUCGCUCAAUCUAAAAGCCUGUGAUGGAGAUUCACCGGUAUUAUUAAUCACAGAAUCAGCUUUGCUGAUUGAUCAGCACUGGAGCCGUGCCUGUAUCGAGUGAGAUUCAUGCCAAAACCUCACACACACACACACAAAAUGUGUUUUACUCACGCACAAAAUCCUUCAAGUACAAAACAAAAUUCUACAAGUACGAAAUUUUUCGCCUUGCUGAUCCACACGCAAAUGCCUUCAGAUCCACACAUGCUAGUAAACUUUCAUCUAAUUUGCACUCCACAGGUGGCGCUGUUAGCGACUUGCGCCGCCACCGACAUGGAAACAGGAGAGAAGAAGAAACGCUAGCGUGAGGGACGUUUUGAACACGAUGAGCUGCCAACAGGUAUUGUGCCUACCACAUUUGGACUGGGAGGACAGUGGUCUGCCUGAUGGGCCACACCAUGGUGUCACUUUUCCUGAGAUGGGCGAUACACUGAGUGAUGAACAAAUGGCAGCACUAAGGGCAGCCAUAAAUCCCCUGGGACACUCUCAAUCACAUGGCUCAGACAUCUACCUACUUACUGUGGAGUAUGUCCAGCAUUUACUAGGCUUACAGAAAAAUGUACUCAGCAAAGGACCUGAUUCAAUGAUAAUGCAGCACAAAUACAAAAAGAACACUUAUUUACAGAACAGUGCCCCUGCUAAUAACUGGUUUGUAAGAUGUUACAGUAACUGAAAUAAAUAUUUCUAAAUCAGU
Carassius auratus (goldfish) is the source of this 1210-nucleotide long non-coding RNA. RefSeq lists it as uncharacterized. The record is from RefSeq and is a predicted model, not a curated record. The transcript is spliced from 2 exons. Lineage: Eukaryota; Metazoa; Chordata; Actinopteri; Cypriniformes; Cyprinidae.